GUCCUACUAAGAAAAUUUACAUCCGCUUAUGAAUUACAAUAACAAAAAACUAGUACAAGAUGGUUCAGAUAAUGAAAGGAAAAGAUAGCCAAUUCAAGUUUUGUAGAGUUAUUUCUAAAUUUUAAGAGUCUAAGGAGAUAACACAUGAAGAUUUGUGACUUUCAUGAUCAUUAUCAGCUAUCAAAUUUGAUGUAGUUCAUAAGAAAGUCCUAAAAAACUCAGAUUUCUUUUUGUCCCAUUUUUACUUCAGCCUAUUUUUUCCCCUUCUUUUUUCCAGUUGCAGUACUUAGGAGUCUUCGCUGUCGUGUGUAAGCAAACUCUCCAAAUUUAUGACCGACCUUUAUCUUACAACGAACAAAUGUUCUUCCAUUGCAAAUUCAUGCCGUGUAACCAACAAAUUCUGGUAUAAAAACAGAUCUACGAGACCAAAUUUUCUUGUUAGCAAGU
This 447-nucleotide unclassified non-coding RNA is filed under the name Hevea brasiliensis (rubber tree). Lineage: Eukaryota; Viridiplantae; Streptophyta; Magnoliopsida; Malpighiales; Euphorbiaceae. The record is from RNAcentral.